GAUGAAGAACGUAGCAAAAUGCGAUAAGUAAUGUGAAUUGCAGAAUUCAGUGAAUCAUCGAAUCUUUGAACGCACAUUGCGCCCGCUGGUAUUCCGGCGGGCAUGCCUGUUCGAGCGUCAUUUCAACCCUCAAGCCCCCGGGUUUGGUGUUGGGGAUCGGCUCUGCCCUUCUGGGCGGUGCCGCCCCCGAAAUACAUUGGCGGUCUCGCUGCAGCCUCCAUUGCGUAGUAGCUAACACCUCGCAACUGGAACGCGGCGCGGCCAUGCCGUAAAACCCCAACUUCUGAAUGUUGACCUCGGAUCAGGUGGGAAUACCCGCUGAACUUAAGCAUAUCAAUAAGCGGAGGA
Molecule: unclassified non-coding RNA, 348 nt
Filed under: soil metagenome
Description: partial contains 5.8S ribosomal RNA, internal transcribed spacer 2, and large subunit ribosomal RNA
Rfam family: 5.8S ribosomal RNA (bases 1-120)
Source: RNAcentral